AUUGAACGCUGGCGGCAGGCCUAACACAUGCAAGUCGGACGGUAGCACAGAGGAGCUUGCUCCUCGGGUGACGAGUGGCGGACGGGUGAGUAAUGUCUGGGGAUCUGCCCGAUAGAGGGGGAUAACCACUGGAAACGGUGGCUAAUACCGCAUAACGUCGCAAGACCAAAGAGGGGGACCUUCGGGCCUCUCACUAUCGGAUGAACCCAGAUGGGAUUAGCUAGUAGGCGGGGUAACGGCCCACCUAGGGGACGAUCCCUAGCUGGACUGAGGGGAUGACCAGCCACACUGGAACUGGGACACGGUCCAGACUCCUACGGGAGGGAGCGGUGGGGAAUAUUGCACAAUGGGCGCAGGCCUGAUGCAGCCAUGCCGCGUGUAUGAAGAAGGCCUUCGGGUUGUAAAGUACUUUCAGCGGGGAGGAAGGCGAUGUGGUUAAUAACCGCGUCGAUUGACGUUACCCGCAGAAGAAGCACCGGCUAACUCCGUGCCAGCCGCCGCCGUAA
This 506-nucleotide ribosomal RNA is filed under the name uncultured bacterium. RNAcentral's name for it is "partial 16S ribosomal RNA". It matches the Rfam family "Bacterial small subunit ribosomal RNA", at positions 29 to 523 of the family's 1533-position model. The record is from RNAcentral.